CAGCCGCCGCGGUAAUACGUAGGUGGCGAGCGUCGUCCGGAUUUAUUGGGCGUAAAGGGAGUGUAGGCGGUCUUUUAAGUCUGAUGUGAAAGCCCACGGCUCAACCGUGGAGGGUCAUUGGAAACUGGGAGACUUGAGUGCAGAAGAGGAGAGCGGAAUUCCAUGUGUAGCGGUGAAAUGCGUAGAUAUAUGGAGGAACACCAGUGGCGAAGGCGGCUCUCUGGUCUGUAACUGACGCUGAGGCUCGAAAGCGUGGGGAGCAAACAGGAUUAGAUACCCCCGUAGUCCCUGUCUCUUAUAC
This 301-nucleotide ribosomal RNA is filed under the name uncultured bacterium. Its description in RNAcentral is "partial 16S ribosomal RNA". It matches the Rfam family "Bacterial small subunit ribosomal RNA", at positions 509 to 807 of the family's 1533-position model. The record is from RNAcentral.